Molecule: ribosomal RNA, 492 nt
Filed under: uncultured bacterium
Lineage: Bacteria
Description: partial 16S ribosomal RNA
Rfam family: Bacterial small subunit ribosomal RNA
Source: RNAcentral
AGUGAGCGCUGGCGGUAGGCCUAACACAUGCAAGUCGAACGGCAGCACAGUAAGAGCUUGCUCUUACGGGUGGCGAGUGGCGGACGGGUGGGGAAUACAUCGGAAUCUACUUUUUCGUGGGGGAUAACGUAGGGAAACUUACGCUAAUACCGCAUACGACCUACGGGUGAAAGCAGGGGAUCUUCGGACCUUGCGCGAUUGAAUGAGCCGAUGUCGGAUUAGCUAGUUGGCGGGGUAAAGGCCCACCAAGGCGACGAUCCGUAGCUGGUCUGAGAGGAUGAUCAGCCACACUGGAACUGAGACACGGUCCAGACUCCUACGGGAGGCAGCAGUGGGGAAUAUUGGACAAUGGGCGCAAGCCUGAUCCAGCCAUACCGUGUGGGUGAAGAAGGCCUUCGGGUUGUAAAGCCCUUUUGUUGGGAAAGAAAAGCAGCAGGUUAAUACCCCGCUGUUCUGACGGUACCCAAAGAAUAAGCACCGGCUAACUUCGUG